Molecule: long non-coding RNA, 39784 nt
Filed under: Medicago truncatula (barrel medic)
Lineage: Eukaryota; Viridiplantae; Streptophyta; Magnoliopsida; Fabales; Fabaceae
Description: long non-coding RNA (MTRU_LNC001557)
Rfam family: MIR2680 microRNA precursor family (bases 21645-21812)
Source: RNAcentral
UCUCUUUUGGAUCAAGUCCAAAGAGUGUUAUGGCAACACUUUGUUUCUUUAGGUUUUGGCUUGGUUUUGGUAUUGGUGGUGAUUACCCUCUUUCAGCUACAAUCAUGUCUGAAUAUGCUAACAAAAAAACUAGAGGUGCAUUUAUUGCUGCUGUUUUUGCCAUGCAAGGUUUUGGUAUCUUAGGUGGUGGAAUUGUUGCUUUGAUUGUGGCUUCUAUAUUUGAUCACAAAUAUAAGGUUCCUACCUUUGAAGAAAAUCCAGCUGCAUCACUGUUAGUGCCUCAAUUUGAUUAUGUUUGGAGACUUAUUCUUAUGUUCGGCGCUCUUCCUGCUGCAUUGACGUACUACUGGCGAAUGAAAAUGCCAGAAACAGCCCGUUACACCGCUCUUGUUGCUAAGAACGCGAAACAAGCUGCCGCGGAUAUGUCUAAGGUAUUGCAAGUUGAACUUGAAGUUGAAGAGGAGAAGGUACAAAAAAUGACUAGUGAUAAAAGGAAUAGUUAUGGCUUGUUCAGCAAGCAAUUCGCAGCACGACACGGUUUGGCUUUGUUUGGAACAUGUAGUACAUGGUUUUUGUUGGAUAUUGCUUUCUAUAGUCAGAAUCUUUUCCAAAAGGACAUUUUUAGCGCAAUUGGAUGGAUACCUCCGGCAAAAGAAAUGAAUGCAAUUCAUGAGGUUUACAAGAUUGCAAGAGCACAAACACUUAUUGCGUUGUGCAGUACUGUUCCGGGUUACUGGUUCACGGUAGCAUUUAUCGAUCACAUGGGUCGUUUCGCUAUUCAAAUGAUGGGAUUCUUCUUCAUGACUGUUUUCAUGUUUGCACUUGCCAUACCAUAUGAUCAUUGGAGCAAGGAAGAGAAUAGAAUUGGGUUUGUUGUAAUGUACUCACUCACAUUCUUCUUUGCUAAUUUUGGUCCAAAUGCUACGACAUUUGUUGUACCGGCAGAGAUUUUUCCGGCUAGGCUAAGGUCUACCUGUCAUGGAAUCUCAGCUGCUGCAGGAAAGGCAGGAGCAAUUGUUGGUGCAUUUGGAUUCUUGUAUGCUGCACAAAGUAAAGAUCCUACCAAGACCGAUAAAGGGUAUCCAACCGGUAUUGGGAUUAAGAACUCUCUUAUCAUGCUUGGUGUGAUCAACUUUGUUGGGAUGUUAUGCACAUUACUUGUUCCGGAAUCAAAGGGAAAAUCGUUGGAAGAGUUGAGUGGAGAGAACGAGGGAGAAGGUGCCGAGGCCACUGAACAAGAAGGACCGCGGUUUGAAAAUGUAGCUUGAGCAAGAAGGAUCAUGAACAUCACAAAGUGAAUUUAUUUUAUGUUUGCACCAUAUAUUAUUAUUUGUGACACAUUUUAGAACUCUUAAACCAUUUUUCUGUUUGCAUUUUAGCUACUGGUUGUUGUAUUCACAAUAAUGAUGCAGUCCUAUGCUUCUUGGUGUAAGAUUCAAUACUAUGUAAAGUGUAUGUCUUUGGUUGUAUACUAUUUAAAAUCUAUUCUUGUAUUGUAUAAUUUAUUUUAGCCUUUGUUUGAGAUUGAGGUUACUUGUUCUGUUGCAUUUAAUCACAAGUUUUCAUUUUGUUAUACGUACGUGUUAUACCCUGUUUUUGGACCUAAAAAUACUGGGCCCAAUUUCAUUUCAAACUUUGUCAAUUAUCAAAUUUCAACUGCACAGUUCAAAUUGUCUCUGCCUCGCAGUAUUUUCAAUCACAAUUUCACCUAUGUUUUUCUUGCAUAAAACCUUUUGAAGUGUCUUUACUUGUCUUAUAAGUCAUUCAAAAGUGUCUCUGAAUCAUUGCAUUGCUUUUUCUACAGUUUAUUUCAAAAUUAGCAAAAAGUCAUACAGAAGGGUAUUUUGGUCAUUUCCUGCAGUGGGACCCAUUUUCAUCCUUGUGACUGUCUCUGAGUCUUUUCAAAUUGUUUUUUUUUUCAUUUCAUCAGUAAAUUUUGUUAAUUUCGUUUCAAACUUGCGUCUGAGUCAGUGUCGAGUCAAUUUGAAUCUGUUUAGGUCAAUUUUAGCCCUAGGGGCAUUUUGGUCAUUUCACACGAAAUUUUGGCAUGGGGAGGUUACUUUGAAGUACCUCAUUUAGGCCAUUGGUUCGUUUUAGUCCGUUUUGUCAAUUUUAUUUUUGUUUCGCUUUACGUUUGGUCAAAUUACGUUUUUUAUUCAAUUUUAUUUUUAAUUGCAUUUUGGUCCCUUUUUCUUUCCAAUUUGCAUUUCAGUCCUUUUUUAUUACAGUUCAGUCCUUAAGUUUUUGUUUUUGCAGAAAAGUCCCAAAUUCAUUUCAAGUCCAAGCCGUGCCAUUUUCAUACAAAUCCAGGUGUCACCUUUUCAUUGGAUUUCAAGUACACAUGUCAGAUUAUAAAUAGUGCACAGUGCCACUCAAAGCCAUUAAUCACACGCCAACUCAUAAACGCAAUUCCAACUUUCUCUCUCUCAGCAAUUGAAUCAAAACAGAAAUUUCUCAGAUUCAUCAAGAACACCAAGAACAAAAACCCUAACCGUUUUUUUUAGAAUCACCAGAAUCACUGAAUCAUCAACAAAUUCAUCAAAUUCUCUGCAAUUCUCAGAGAUUCAAUACUGAAUCUUCAUCAUUGAAUCACCUCCUUCACAAUACAAGUGCGAGUCCAUUACUGUUAGCAACGGACUCAAGCACGAUCACGAAGAAGACAGUGAGAAGAAGAGGGAAAGAAAACGAAGAAUCUGGACCGGUGGAGAAAAGAAAGAAUCACUGAUUUAUUUUCAGUUUCAAAGCCGGAAAUCAACACAGAAAGCACAGAAUCUCCAUCAAAAAUUUCAGGUAAAAACUCAGAACCUCUUUACAAAAUAAAAUCAUAGUUUAAACCUGCAAAAUCACGCAAGCAGCAAACUUAACAUUUUUCCAGAAUCACAAAAGAACAAGAACCGUAACCGUAACCGUAACCAUAAACGCGUGAAUCUCGUUUUUCUCUUUUCAAAAAGCAUCAACGCAAGCGAAUCGUUACAGAUCAAGAAGGAUAAAAGAGGAUUUGAUCCAAGAAAGUUUCAAAGAAAAAAAGAUUCUCAAAACCGUGACACAAAAACGUAGAUCUACAACGAUUCAGACCUUGCAUGCGAAAUCUAAUGCCAUAUUCUUGUUUAGAACGAAAAAGGAUGUCUUAAUCUGUAAAAAAUUUUGAAAACGGUGGAGUUUCUCGCCUCCGGUGCGGCGGCGCCGCCCUGUUGGGCCGGCAAGCCACCACACCGGAGCGGUGAAGCUCACCGGAGAAGACAACCGGAGAGAGGAGAGAGGUGAGAGCUUCUCUCACUAGGUUUAGGGUUAGAGAGAGAGAGGAGAAGGAAAAAUGGACUGGACCGGUCCUGUAAUCCUUUUAUAAGCAGCUGAACCGGACCGGUCCAGCUCUGUUUCGUUCCCUUCAAUCUAGACCGUUGGAUCUAGGGUUCCAUCCCCUGGAUCAAUCCAACGGUCCCUGCGCUUUCCUGUGUUUUGACUUUGGGCUUUGGGUCUGGGCCUAAGAUUCCAUACGUUUUUUUUGCUCCUUUGUGCUAUUUACACCUUUUUUCUGUGCUAUUGAAACCUGUGCCUUGACCAAAAUUUUGAUAAAAAUUCCUAGAUUUUUUAGGUAUACGUUGUGUUGAUUUCUUAUGGUUCCUAUGACAUUUUUGCAUGUUGAGCUUGAUAAAAGUAUUGCAUGAUUAAUUCAUGGCAUUUUAAUUCCUUUUGGAUCAUUUGCCAUGAGUUUUUUCAUUGUAUUUUUAUCCUUAAUGUGUUAAUAUGUGAUAAUAAUCUUUUGGUAUGUUGAUGUGAGAUGUUUAUGCCUCUAAUCACAUGUUGAUCUUGCUGUUUUGAAUUGUUUUUUUUUUUAUCUUGACUUUGUUAUACAUCGUGCUUGCUAAAUUCUCAUGUUGCAUACUCAUUUGGCACAUUUUGCAUCUUUCCAAUUAUAUUUUUUCCUUGUUGCACUAACAUUUUGUUCCCCAUGUGAUUUCACUCCUAGCAUUUCUCUCCACUCUCUACUUUCUUUAAGCCUAGCAUUUAUUUUUUGCAAAUUUUGAUUCAUUUAGUGAUGUAAUUUGUUAUCAUUGGUUUGUAGCUUGGCAAAGAGGCCAUAGAAUGUAUUUAGGCAAUUUUUGUAAUAUGGACUAUGGACACUAUGACGCACCGACACGCACACACUCACCUUAGAUGUAUGCAUAGGAUUGUAUGGUUAAUUAAGCGUUUAGGUUUUAAACACUUAGAGAAAAUCCAUCUUUUUUUUUUUCAAAAAAAACAAUUGAAUUUCACUUCAAAAAUUUUCAUAAUAAAUAUGAAGUCAACACUUCAUUUUUUUUUCUUUUCUUUUUCUUAAGAAAAAUUCAAUUCAUCUUAAUCAUUUAGACUUUCUUUUUAAUCACUAAUCAAACCUCACUUUUUGCUAAAUCUAAUGCCCUUGAGGCCUCUCAUCUCUAUUCUUCGAAAUCUCUUUUCAAACCUAAAAUCAACCAAUAAAAACAAAAACCAUCUUUGAGCAAGAACUACGCCGGUUUUGAUCCCGUAAAACGGUACGCAGGCAAUGAGUCAAAACUCAUCCAAGCCGAAAUAAAAAUCAAAUUCUACCUCUUCUCACCUCCAUUCUUAACUAAUCACACCUUCUUUUUUACAAAUAAGCAAUAAAAUUAAAGCGUAGAAAUAAACUUAGGAAAGCGGUUCUUAUGGAAUACCAUAAUCGCUCCGGGUGCCUAACACCUUCCCGUAGCGAAAACGACCCCCGAAUCCGGAAACUCAAGGGUUUUUCUCCUUUUACCCUUCCCAAGAAAAAAGAGGGAUAUCAACGGUCAAAAGGUUCAAGUCCAAUUAAUGGCUUGGCACCCAAAAACCAUGAUAACAGUACGUGUUGUUCUAAAAUGUGUUAUACCUUCAUGGGGUUCGCUCCAAUCCUUUACAAAUUUGGUUUAUACCUUAGUGUGCUCGUUAAAAUGUGUUUUCCCACUGACCUAGAUGUAUACUCUAUAUAAGGAAAGUUGGUUGGCGAUGCGAGUCUAACAGAGGCGACUCCCUUGGCAUUACUCGGUAUUUGCGAUGCGGUGCUCAUUGCCAACAAUGCAUGAUAGACAGUAGAAAACACCUUACCUUAUAAUGAAGUCUCGCGUUAUGGGGCUCAUAGUCCGCGAUGCGAUAUUGACUAUAGCUGACUCAUUGGUUUCUUCAAUCCUUGCUCCAUUUCUUCUCACCAGAACGUCUAUAGCGACCACACUCCAAGCAUCAACUAUGAUAAAUUUGUAAAACGAAUCAUACAGCACAUGAAAAUUAAGUCUAACUAAAAAUUAGACCAGACCAGUUACAACAUCUAAGAACUUCAUUUGAAGAAUGAGAGAGUUUAAUUUGAAAAUGAAUCUACUUAAAUAUGCAUCUGGUUUAUCCGCAUUGCAUAUGGAAUGUUCACCUUCAAGGAACAAGAAGCAACUUCAAUAUUUUCUUGGCAAAGUCAACUAUAUUCGAAGAUACGUCUCGAAUCUUUCUGAAGGACGAAGGUCGUCACACCUUUGUUAAAUUGUAAAAAGAAGAAGAAUUUUUAUGGGAAUUUGAUCAGCAGAAGGCAUUCGAGGAUUUUAAUAAAAUCAUACAAGUCAAUUUUCUUGUGGUGAAUUUUUCGUUGAUCCUCCGUAUAUAAUGCAAUGUCUCUAUCAACCAAGUUAGGUUCACAGAGAACAUUCGCAAUAUGUCCCAAUCAUGAGUGUGAUAUUGUUUGGGUUACCCUGAUAUUGAUACGAAGUUUCUACCACCGCUUAACAAUGAGUAAUUUCUAUUGGCAAAUCUGAAGGGCACAUAAGGUGGAUUCUCCCCUCCGAACCUUUUUUUUUAUAUGUAUUAGGCAGAAAUCGAACUUCUGAACACAUGGAGCAUGUCUCUUACCACUUUGACCAAUUCAUUUAUGAAAGAGUGUGAUUUGUUUGGCCAUUGUAGUGGAAACAGUUUAUUAUUCAUUUCAUGGUGGUUAUAUUGUGGCUGAAUUAAACCCCGUUCAAACAAAUAGUCGGAUUUUUCUAAAACGGUUUGAACCUAACCUUAAAUUUGUUCCAAUAUAGUUUUGGUUUAUGUAUCUGAUGGAGAUUUGACAAGUGAAUCAAAACUAUCGAAGUAAUAAAUAAAUUCGUAUCCACGAGGACUGUUGUUAAUUUUUAUUCGACAAAAACGUUAAAAUAAAGGAUGUAUUAAAUUCAAUGGUGCCCUAGGAAAUUGAGUUGAUGUUUGUAACAUAAACGAAUUAAAAACAAUAAAGAUUGGUUUUAGAAAAUUAAAGAGAAGUAUGGUUAAGACCUUCGAAUCCUCCGAAGUUCUCCUAUGAUAAUUUGCACUCUUAAUUCAAGCAAUGAUUAUCUAGUUUAACGACAAAUUAACAAAAUAAUAUAUACCCAAUCUCUUGACCCAUAAUUCUCCCCACGAGUGACAACCCCUUAAUUAAUCUCUUAAGUGAAUUCGAAACCGUUGGAGGUUUUAAUCCCUAUGUCAUAACCUAAUAUUGAUCUAUCUCUAACUUGAUUACUUAGGUUAAACUUAUUACCUAGAUCAGAGUUAAAAGCCAAGGUUAGUGGUCAUCCAAUCUCUAGGAUCAAUUUGCAUAUUCAUAAAGCUAAGGUUAGUAGUCGAUGAUAAACAUACAAAAAGCAUUAAACAUAAAGUAAUAUAAAUUAAAACUAGACUUUCAUUGAUAUUCAAAUUAAAGGAGUUCAACAAAUUAGGGUUCCUAUAAGAUUACAUCAGAUUCAUCUAAGACUCAACCACAAAUAGAUUAGUUACUUAUAGCUAAAGUAAACGAUAACUAACAUAAAAACAAGGAUUCAUACAUGUAUUGGAUGAUUGACUAUGAAUUUUGAUGGUUGCCCACCAGAUCUGCAAAGCCUCCGCUCCAAAAUAUGCUUUUCUCUCUAAAAUCGUGAACACUUACUCUGAAAAUGGACUUUUCUAUUUAUAAGCCUGUCAAAAUCGGCCACCGAGACCAAAAUUCGAUGGCAGAACCAAUUAAAACGCGCGCCGAGUCUGAUGAAAUUUGUGGCCGAAUGUGCAUCUUCGGUGGCCGAUUUUUGUCGAAAGAAAAAGGCAUCAUGUGGCUAGGAAAUCGGUGACCGAAUGCUUAAAUUCAGUGGCCGGAUUGGAUUUCCUGAAAAUCUGAAUUUCAUCCUUUUUUUGUGCUUUCAGCUCCCAUGAACUUGAUGAAUAUCUUCUAAAAUUACAUAAAAAAAGCCUACUAAAAGAGUAAUGACAGAGUGUCAUCACAACCCUAAACUUGGAUCGUUACUUGUCCUCAAAGAAUCAAAUUAAAGUAAAAAAUAACUGUAAAGUAACACUUACUUCACCAAUGGUCAUGUCAAAAGUUCAUCUCCUUAGUCAGUAAUUGAUGAGCUAACUUGCUUGGUUACACAUCCAUUCCACAACUUCUCGCAACAAUAUUGAGAAUUUACAAGGUUCACUCAGUCGACAUGCAGACCUACUAUAUUAUCAAAACUUGAAAAACUUAUGAGCAUCAAUCAAAGUCAAUAUAAUGCACACACUAUUGGUGAAAAUUGACAAUUCAGCUUGUUUUGUCAUUUUUUUUUUCAUAACACAAAGUGAUCUCUUUCUUCUCUAGUACCCCUACCCCAUACUUAGAGUGUUGCUAAUUCCAUGAGCAACCCUAAACUUUAACUUUUUCAUAAUAACAAACAUAAACAUGUUAACUCCAACCAAAUUUGGGUAUAUUCUUAAUGUCUCUAGGUUUGUAAUGUGGUUAGUCACCGAAAUAAGGGGUCUAAUCCUAAUGGCUCAACUUGGUUUAAACAAAGGAUAAUUCAAUAUAAACAAAGGUGGGCUACAAAGGCUCAAGGUACAAGCUAUUUGUCUUAGUGUGUACGAUAUAUUACCAAUUAGUUACAAAAAAAAUCGUGAAUUCUAGAAAUAACAUCUACAUGGAAACACUCAUAUUUGUAAAAAUUGAAAAAUAAAUUUAGGCCAUAAUCUUAGAAGCUGAGGUUUCUGGAAGUUCUUGCUACCUAAGCAUCUUCCUGGAGUACACUUCCCUUAUAGUAUCAUGCAAGCAACCACUUCCUUUGAACUUUUGACAAACCAUUGGUGAAAUAUUUGUUACUGAACUAGUAAAAUUUAAGAAAAGUAAAUUCAUUUAUGAUACUAAAAGGAUUAUUUUCACUAAUGCACAAUCAGAAACUAUUUUAAAAUUUUGAUACAUUGAAGGAAUAUUAUGACUACUUGUUACACAUUCAAGUACUAAAAUGACUAUCACCCAAAAAAAUGACAAAUGUACGGAAUAUUGUGUGUUCUUCAAUACUCAUAACCAUGAGAUGAAUCUCCUACUAAAAUAUUUAAAAGAUUUAGUUUUUUUUCCAGUUGUUGAAUGAACCAAACGCGUAUUGGGACAAUGCACUGUCCACUCAUUCCCCAGUCACCACUUUACUCAUCAACUUAUAUUCUUCAUUCUUUCCUUCCCUACAUAUAUAGUGAGUUUCUUAUAUAUUUUGUGAUUUUGUUUAAGUAUAAAGUUUACUCUUUUCCUCCAACCGAAUAUAUUCUUGUCUUUUCAGUUCAACUUCCACCACCCUUUACCAAUAACUUUAGAAACCAAACCAAAUAUUAACCUCAAAAUAUUAUAUAUCAAGAACCAAAGGAUUGAUUCCUUUGUAUGAGUUGUAGUUAUAGCCUUUGUUUCAAAAGUGAUGCUAAUUAUAUAAGAAAGAACAACAUCAACCUCAUGUUCUUUAUUCUAGUAAUUAGUCCUUUUUUUUUCUUCCUCUAAAUUUUGUUGUUCAUUUCUUGAUUAUGGAACGAAGGGUUCUUGAUGGUAUCAUUAAUAGGUUGCUUGAUGUUAGAGGAAGACCUGGGAAACAGGUUCAGCUUUCAGAGGGAGAAAUCAAGCAGCUUUGUGUGGUCUCUAGAGAUAUCUUUUUGAAGCAGCCUAAUUUGUUGGAACUUGAGGCACCAAUUAAGAUAUGUGGUAACUAUUUUUCAGCCUUCUUUCUUUUAAAAAAUUAAAUAAAUAAUACUUAUAAGUUUGGUUUCUCAUUAGUUAGUAGUUUUGACAUGAAAUUUUGUUACAUUCCAUGGGAUAUAAGGUUGGUUUGGUGGUUGCGUGCGCAAGUUAAAAGGGUAGUUAGUGAUAUGAACUAUGAAGGCCGGGGGUUUGAUCCCCACUCUCAGCAUAAUGCUAAAAUUAGUAAUAAUAUUAAUAUUAGCCGUUUCAACUCUCUAAGUCGUAACCUAACAUAUGAGCAAUUGCUCUCCUAUGUUAUGCUCGAGCGUCUGCCCACUAAUAUAUCCACUUUUUUUUUCCUUCUUGGGGUGGGGUGGUUGGGGCUUGGUAAGAUUCUCUCUCUUAAGCGCCCAACUCAUGAUUGGUGAAGCUAAAUUGAAAUCCGUAAAUUUGGUCUUUAAACUAUAUAAAAGUCUAGCAUUGUAAUAGCAGAGACUAAAUUAAUGUAUUUUAUAUAUUUUAGGGACUAUUUAGUAUAUUUACAUAGUUUAGAAAGUAAAUUAAAAAGAAAAGUAAUAGUUUAGGAAGUAAAUUGAUUGUUUUAUUCUAACUUUACAAUUCUAUAUAAACUUUUUGCUUUUGAAGUUCAAGUACCAAUGGUUUUAACCUUUUUUCAGAAGCACGGUUUGUUGGCAUAUUUUUCUACUUUAGUGGUUUCUUAUGUGUCUGUACUUUAUAGUUCUUGAAAUUUAUGUUCAUUUUUGGUCUAAUUGAAAUUGGUUACAUCCCUGUUUUUUACAGACACCACAUAAUCUCCUUUAUUUUUACCUUUCUUAAAGAGAAAGGCAUAAAACAUUAUCAACUAAAGUGACAUUAAUAAUUAUUUUUCAACUCUUUAUGAGGAGAUUCAAAUUUAGAAUUUCUUCCCUUGAGAUUUCAAGGUCAAAUUUAGCUCCAAACGGACACUCACUCAUAGACAUAAUCUCUUUUGUUUUAUUUUUUUUUAUUUUUUUUUUGACAAAUGUUUUAUUUUAUUUUAUUUUAUAAAUAGUAAUAGUUUGAAUUAUUUCAAAAAAAAAAAAUUGUCUACUAAUUCAAGGUAUUAGGAACUAAUAUAUUGUUUCAUUUCACUAUGCUAUUAUUUUCAGGAGAUAUCCAUGGUCAAUAUUCUGACCUAUUAAGCCUAUUUGAGCAUGGUGGAUUCCCUCCACGUUCCAACUACUUGUUCUUAGGAGACUAUGUAGACCGUGGAAAACAAAGCUUGGAAACAAUAUGUCUUCUUCUAGCCUACAAAAUUAAAUACCCUGAAAACUUUUUCCUUCUAAGAGGAAACCAUGAAUGUGCUUCCAUAAACCGCGUCUACGGAUUCUACGACGAAUGUAAAAGGAGAUUCAAUGUAAGGGUAUGGAAGAUAUUUUCAGAUUGUUUCAAUUGUUUGCCGGUCGCGGCUAUCAUUGAUGAAAAGAUUAUAUGUAUGCAUGGUGGAUUAUCUCCUGAAUUGCAUAGUUUGAAACAGAUAAGUAAUUUGCCAAGGCCUAGUGAAGUUCCUGAAACUGGUCUUUUAUGUGAUCUUUUGUGGAGUGAUCCUAGUAAAGAUGUUCAUGGUUGGGGAGUUAAUGAACGUGGUGUUUCAUUUACUUUUGGUGCAAGUAAGGUUGCAGAGUUUCUUCAAAGGCAUGAUCUUGACUUGAUUUGUAGAGCUCAUCAGGUUUUGUAAAUUCGUUUUCAUGCUGUUAAAUAUGCUUUUAGUUCCUAUAUAAUCGUGAAAGUUCGACUUUAGUAAUCUCUAAAUUUGAGAAAGGUUUUGUUUAUAGCGCAAUGCUUGUAUACUUAUAUUUUGAGUGAAGACCUAGUUUAGUUCCCAAGAAAAACUACGAGACCAUGUUGGGUUCAAGUUUGACCGGUUAGUCGCACAUCAAUUAUGAAUGAGAUAAAUGUUUCAUAUAUAACAGACGUGGCUCAUAUACCUGGUGUCUUAUGAGUUAAGAUUUUAGAUGGAGAUAUGGUGUCAAGAUCUCUUUAUGAAAUCAGAUCAUUGGUUUAUUGUUGCUUCCAACGCUCCUUUGGUCUGUCUACCAGGCCAAAUUUGGCCGCUGAGGAAAAUAAAAAAAAACAUAGUCCUUGGGAAAAAAAUCGGGACAACUAAGUCAGUAAGAUCCGGUUUUUUCAAGUUUCCUCUAUAGGCCUCAAGGACUAAGUUUUUUCCUCGACGACAUAGUCCUUGGGAAAAAAAUCGGUUUUUUCCUCGUUUUUUUUUCCUCGACGACUAAAAUUGCUUUUAUUUUUUUCAAGGAGCAAAUUAGGUGACAUUGUUUUUCUUGGAGAUUAAAAUGAGUAUUCACUGUAAAAAAAUUAAGGACUAAGAAUAAACAAUUGUCAUUUUAUUGUGACAAACAAAUCAAAGUUUAAAUAUGAUAUUUUUUAAGUGAGUUUAUCAAGUAUAUAACUAACUUUUUUGUGUAUUCUUUUCCAUAGGUUGUUGAAGAUGGAUAUGAGUUUUUUGCUAAUAGACAACUUGUGACUAUAUUUUCUGCUCCUAAUUACUGUGGAGAGUUUGACAAUGCUGGAGCAAUGAUGAGUGUUGAUGAGACACUUAUGUGUUCUUUUCAGAUAUUAAAACCUGUGGAUCAUAAAAUGCCUAAGUUUGGUUUUAGGAGUACAACUUCAUUCAAGGUUAGUAAUCCAACAUAAACAUUAAUAUUUCAGUUCAAUCAAGAAUUUGCAAAUUUUAAGUAUUUAAAAUAAUAUUUUUGGUAGUUUGUUCAUUUUAUCAGUCAUAUAAUGAUUAGUGUCAUAUGAAGUAUUAAUUCAGACACAAAUACUAAAUACGACAAUAACACGUUGACAAUAAUAAUUUGAGAAAGUCAAAUAGUUAAAUGUGAUCACUUGUAUUAGUGUACUUAAUGUACUAAUUUAGUACAGUAAAACAACUUAAAACAACUCAAGAGUUAUUUUGCCAAAAUUUCAUUGUGUUUCAUUGUAUAAUGUUUGUUUUGAUUAAAUUCGAUUGUUUUAAUUUCAUAUUAUCUAUGUUAUCUAAAUAUCUUUAUACUUUUUAUUUUAUUUUCAGAAGGCAUUUCUUGGUGCUAAAGUAAGAGCUGAUUGAUGUGACUAUAACAUGACUAAAGUUGGAAUAUAGAUAAAGUUGACAAUGAAAAAGUUAUAAUCUUUGUUCACUAUAAUGUGAAGGAUGACAUCAAUUGUCAAUGAAACAACUUAACUGCUGGCUCAAUACAAAUGGAGAGCUCAUUUUUCACUUCCUUUUUCUUUUCAUUAUUAAGCUUUUUCUAAGAGAUAUAAUUCUCUAGUGCUUCCUCUAUUCAUAAAUCUGGUUGUAUUAUUAUGGCAGCAUUUCGGCUUAUUAACAAUUAGUGUAAUUGUAUUGUAAUAUUAUCAAGUCAUACAUUUUUUUUGUCUCCAAUGUUUAGUUCAAAUAGUUGAACUUAUACAUCCAAAAGAGUUUAUAUGCAUAAAAUUAAUGGAGGUUUGUGAAGAAGAUAAAAAAUCUUACAAGUGUGUUUGGAUCAGAUAAUUGGAAGAUUUUAUAAAAUUUAAAAUUUUAGACAAUUCAAAUAAUUAAAUUUGCAUCUCCUUCAUCUCUAAAUGGUUUUUUUUUUUUUUUUUUGGAUAGAAUGGUGAUAAAUUUUAUUGUUAACAUUUUUUGGAUACUUUUAUAAUUUUUAAUAUUUUUGGUAAAAUUUGCAAAAAGGGACCAAUUUGCAUAUUUCAAAAAACAAGAGGAGACAAUUUAUAGUUUUUGAAAAAUUUAAGGUGCCAAUUUACAAUAUUUUGAAACUUUACAGGGGUUAGAUUGAAAAUACACUCAAUGAUUAUUAUGAUAUAAGAAAUACAUUUAAAGAUUUAAACAAAGUUAUAAUGUAGGCUUAAGUGUAUUUAAGAUUGCUACUAAUCUAUGAAGAUGAUUCUGAUCAUUGAGUGUGGUUAUGAUAUCAAUGGUAUAGUGCAAUCUUUCGUAUUCUAAUAUGAUAUCAAAUAUGUGAGACCAUCUGUUAUCCCGAUUUUGGGGUAUCAAGUCAUUAAUUAGGCUUGAACCUUUCAAUCUUUGAUAUUCUCUAUUUUUUCUUGGGAAGGGUAAAAUUGAGAAAACCCUUAAAAAUUCUAAGUUCGGGGGUCGUUUUCGUUACGGGAAGGUGUUAGGCACCCGCAAUGACUAUAGUACUUUAUAGGAGCCGUUUUCUUAGUUUUAUGUCUACGCUUUAUUUUUAAUGCUAUUUAUUAAAAAGAAGUUGAUUAUGUUAAGAAUGGAGGGAGAAAAAAGUUUGAAGUUUUAUUUUAUUGGACUUGGAGAGGUUUUGACCUCUUGCCUACAUACCCUUUUAAGGGAUCAAAAUGCCAUGUAGUUCUCUUUCAAAAAAUGUUUUUUGCGUGUUUGAUUGAUUUUAGUUUUUUUGGAAAAUGGUUUUGAAGAAGAGAAAGAAGCCGUAAAGGCAUGAGAAAAAGUAGUGAAGAGUUGGUUCAAUUAUUAAAAAGAAAAUGUCUAAGUUGGAAUUAGAGUUCAUUUGAGUUUGAUUAAGAAAAUAAAAGAAAAUGCAAUGGAGUUUUGACUCCAAGGUUUAUUUGGAAAAAAUUUCAAGUGAUGGAAUUUGCUUAUUUUUGGAAAAUUGAUAUUUUUCUAAGUAUCGCGUUUCCUAAGCAUACAUCUAAAGCGGUAUACAUACAACGUGUGUGCGUGUCGGUGCUUGUGUCGGUGUACAUCAUUAGAGAGUCCAUUGUCCGUUACAUUGGCCCUAGUUUACAUUCUAUGGUCUUGCAAGAAAUUAAAAAGAGAAAUUGAAACUACCUAAAAUAUUACAUGACAUUUUAACAUAGAAAUUAAAAGAAAAAUAAUGCCUAAACUAUGAGAAAUUGAGAUGCUCAUGGGAUGGAUGAAACAAGAAAUGAAAUGGUUAGUAAUAUAAGGCAUAAAAAUGGUAAAAAGGGUAAACAAAAUUGAAUAGGAUAGCCAAAAAAGAAAAGAGCAAUGAAGUGAAAUAAAAUGGCAAAAUAUACCUAGAAUUGGUUAUAAUACUUAGACAUGCACAUGACCUAUAAUUCUCUCAUCAUAGCAAUGUUAAAGAGGUUUGAUUUUGAGCUAUAAUGUGAGGAUUAUAAGGAUACAUACAAGCCAAGCAUUAUGACAUAUUUCUAGAGAUACUUUGCACUUUAUUUCUUGACAAAAUCACACAUUACUUGCAAAACAAGAAAAAUGAAAAUUCACAUCACACAAACAGUAAACCACACAUAGGAUCAGAGACAUAUUCAUCAUGAAAUUGCGUAUUAAUCACUCAUAUCUUGCACCAAGACCAUGAACACAAUGUGAUGAAAAAUUCACAAGAAAUUCCAUUAAAAAGUAAAAAAAAAAACAUCAAGAACCAUCACAUACAUUUUUUAUUAGUUUUUCAAUGUGUAAAAGCAUCACAAGAAAUACCAAAAAUGAAUUAAAAACAAAAGGAAUUCUUCUAGAAUUUUUGAGAGAAAAAUUGAGCAAGCAGGGGUUCAAAUAGCAAUACAGCAAGGUGCAAGUAGCAACAAAAAAUAAAAAAAACGCAGAAACAAACAAACUGCAAGCCCAAGCCCAAAACCCACGGAUCCGGAUGCACAGGGAGCGCUGGAUUGAUCCAGAGAGGGAAACCCUAGAUCCAACGGCCAGGAAUGAAGGGGAUUGGACCGGUUUUGGACCGGUCCGGUUCACUAGCCUAUAAAAGCGAGCUCACGCCGGUUUUCAUUUUACCAAGUUCUUUCUCUCUCUAAGCUCUCUUCCCCUCUCUAAACUCUCUCCUCCUUCGCCGGUUUCUGGAAGGAAACGGCCGGAGAAGAUGAAGAUUCAUCGGAAUCUUCAUCAACUCCGCCGUGAAUUCCAGAUUCCGGCGAGCUUCAACCUGACCAGAAAUCCACUAAACCUACUUCAUUCUACUCGUUCUUUCAUCCUAAAUACGAAUCCAACACCAGAAAUUGCAUACAAGCUUUGAAUCGACGUAGAUCGGGGAAAAUCUUUACGGUUUUCGAAUCUUUUUUAGUUUUUUUUUUCUUUUCAGUUUUUGAAGUGAACUUCUUAUAAACCCUCGAUCUACACCGAUUCACCUUCGUUGAUGUUUUUAUGAAAGAAAAAAAAACGAAGUUUGAGUGUUUUACCUCUGGUUUAAUCGGAGAUUCGAACGAAGAUCCUUGCGGGAAAACUUGAACUGCUUCUGUUGGUUAAUCUUCGCUUUGAAACCGAAAAUAAAUCGGUGAUGCUCUUCUUCUUCUUCACUGGUUCCGUUUCUUCAUCUUCUUUCUCUUCUUCUUCCUCUCAAGUCUUCUUCGUGAUCGUGCUUGAGUCCGUCACCAAUAGUGAUGGAUUCGCACUUGUAUUGUGAAGAAGCCGAUUCAAUGAUGAAGAUUCAGUGUUGGAUCUCUGAGAAUUGCAAGGAAUCUUGUUAAAUCUUCAUUGAUUUGCGUUGAUUCGUGAUGAUUUGUGUUGAUUUGUGAUGAUUUCUGUUGAUUUGUGAUGAUUUCUGUGGAGUUUGGAAACUGUUAGGGUUUGGAAGAGGAUGAACAUUCUUGAGUGUUCAUCGUGAUUUCUGGAAAUUGUUGAGUUUUGAUCUUUGAGAUCAGAAAGAGAAAGUUGGGAAGUGUUUGUGAUGUGGCGUGUGAUCUAUGGCCCUCUGAUUCUGACUUGUGCAGUGAAUGCACCUUUUAUAGGCUGCCAGGUGUGCUUGAGACCCAAUGAGAGAGGGACACCUGUAAUUGGACUUUUCUGCAAAAAAUAAGAAAAUUGAAGGACUGGAUAGCAAAUAAGAAAAAGGACUUAAAAAUGCAAUUUUAAAAGUUUUGGACUAAAAAUGCAGUUAAAAUAAAAUUGGACUAAAAUUGGUAAUUUGAAAAAACGUAAAGUGAAACCAAAAAUAAAAUCAACAAAAGGACUAAAAUGAACCAGUUACAAAAAUGAGGUAUUUUAAAACACCUCUCUGCCGAAAUUUUGACAGGAAAAGACCAAAAUACCCCUAGGGACUAAACUGACCCAACCUGACUCAGAUGCAAAAAAUUUUGAAAUGAUUUUUUAACAAAGACUCAACAAUGGUUUGAAAAGACUCAGAGACAAACACAAGGACUAAAAUGGGUUCGACUGCAGGAGAUGACCAAAAUACCCUUUCUAUAUGAUUUUUGCAAAUGUUUGAAAUGAAAUGCAAGAAAGUAAUGCAAUGUUUCAGAGAGACUUUUUUACAUGACUUGUAAUGCAAGAAAGACACUUUGAAUAGUUUUAUGCAAGAAAAUCAUGCUUGAACGUACUUUGAGACAGAAACAGUAAAAUAUGCAGAUGAAAAGAGAGUAAAGAUUUAGAGUAAAACAACAGCGAAUUGACAAAUAUCAGUGUUAGAAAUGAAAUUUGAACGAGUAUUUUUAGGUCCAAAAUCAGGGUAUAACAGCUGCCCCUAUUUAAGUUUCUUUGUCCGGAGGGUCAAGAGACGGAGUCUUUGGCUUGACGGGACGAAGAUACUUAAAUAUUAACAUUUGCACUGUGUUUGGACGUAAAAAUACGCUUGUACAUUUUCAAAUAUCACGAAUGCCAUGCAACAUUUGGAUUAUGAAUGCGAGACAAACGAGAGUUGGAACUAACAAAAGAUUUCGUAUCCAUUGCGGGACUGGUAGAGAUCGGCAAGAUAACAGAUAACAGGGUAGACGGGAAACUUGAAGCAAAUUGACGGGUACAAGCUGUUCUUGGACUUGAACUGGGCACUUGACCAGGGAUAAAGACAAAUAGACAGGUACGAGUUGUUCUAGGAUUCGAACUGGUCACUUGACUAAAAUCGUAGACACAUAGACAGGUACGAGCUGUUCUUGGAUUCGAACUGGUCACUCGACUGGGGUCAUGGAAAAGUAGAUAGGUACGAGUUGUUCUUGGAUUCGAACUGGUUACUCGACCGAAAACAAAGGCAAAUAGACAGGUGCGAGCUUGUUCUUGGAUGCGAACUGGUUACUCCACCGGAGACAAAACAAACAGACAGGUGCAAGCUGUUCUUGGAUUUGAACUAGCCACUUGACCGAACAGAAACAAAUAGACAGGUACAAGCUGUUCUUGGACUUGAACUAGCCACUUGACCGAACAGAAACAAAUUCACUAGGGAUUAGUUUUUUUUGACAAAAUAUAGAUUGAAGUUGACUGGACGUCGAUUUGAUUUGAAAGGUAGAAAUUGAUCAAUAUUAUUGGCUCACAAGAUUUUGAUAGAGAACCCGACAUGAGUAUUGAAUUGAGACUGAUGUUGACAUUGGAAAUGCAAUAUGCAUGGAUGAUAUAACAGUUUUAUCAAAUGUAUGGGUACGUAAUAUGCAUGAUUAUGCAUGUAUGAAUGCUUGUAAUGCAUGACUGUUGGCAGUUUGUAGACACAGUUUCGCAGAGACAGACAAGACAUUGGAGUAUUGGGCACGUAGUGGCUCAUGCUAUAUUACACAUUCCUGGAAAUCCUCUUUGGAGAUAACACCGUUGGGAGACGUAUCGGAACCAUGACUGAGGGCAGGUAGCUAUGCAACUUGCUGGGGGUAGAAUCUCGGAAGACUCUACUGGGGAUAAUGUCGUCAUUGUUGGGCAUUUAUGUGCUGGGUGUACUGUGGAUGUCGCAUCUGUGGUCAAUGCUUUUUGCAUGUUAUUUUCUCAAUUUUUCAUCAUUAUUUUUUUGCAUCCCAUUUUUGCCUGGAUCGCCCUUUCGGGUUUUCGAUCCACCGGGGAAAUAAAUUCUUUUCAUUGCCCCAUUUUUGCCUGAACUGCCCUUUCGGGUUGUCAAUCGAGCGGGGUGCUCAUUUUUGCCUAAGUCGCCCUUUCAACUUAGCGAGCCUAUUCAUUUUCAUGCAUUUUCAUUCUGUUUUUUCAUUCUUGCCAUUGACCACAGACUAUCCUGGAGAAGAACCUGCUUGUAACAUAUAUUGAAAUAGACAUCAACAUACGCUCGCUCAUGCAUGUUUCGUUUGAAUGUACCCUGUUGCUCAGGUUUGCUUUCAAAAUAGACGAAAAAACUUUUUCAAUUUUCAAGAUGUUUGUUUCAAGCAUUUGUCAUUAUCAAAAAUAGAAAGAAAAUGUUUUUUUUUGUACAUGGCUUUGAAAGUAAAAAGAAAAUAGAGUUUCAAACAAAAGCACAGGCUCAAAUUGAUGUAUAAGAGUGGUGGUCAGCCGAAGGCGUGACUCCACGGAUUUACAAAGCUUGGAAAAUGGUAAUUUUAUUGGUUGGUGGUACAUUGAACACAGUAAUUACUACAUGUCCUGGAAACUUUGAAUUCGCAAGCACAGGAGCUUCUGAUGAAGAUGGUCAUUAACAGCUGCAGAUGCCCCAAGAGGAUGGUGGUUGGCCAGAUAUAGUUACUUGCCUCUGUUUCAAUCUCAUUUUUGCAUGAACCGCCCUUGCGGGUUUUCGGCUCAUCGAGACGCUCAUUCUUGCCUGAGUUGUGUACAAUCUCAGCGAGCUUUUUCAUAUUUGUUUUUUUUUUGUCCCUUAUUUUUGCCUGGAUCGCCCUUUCGGCUUUUUGAUCCACCGGGAAGCGCAUUUUUGCCUAGGCCGCCCUUUCGGGUUUUCGACCUACCACGAUGUUCUUUUCAUAUAUCUAGGCAAAGUAUUUCUUGACUAUAUCAGCAUUCACAGGAUUUGGAAGUUCUACACCAUCCAUGUGUGUAAGAAUUAAAGCACCACCGGAGAAGGCCUUCUUGACAACAUAAGGACCUUCAUAGUUAGGCGUCCACUUGCCCCUUGGGUCGGGUUGCUGGCUUAUCCUCCUUUUCAAUACAAGUUCACCUUCCUUGAAUUCUCGAGGAUGGACUUUCUUGUCAAAGGCAGUCUUCAUCCUUGCUUGAUAUGACUGUCCACGAACCAUGACAUCCAUACGUUUUUCCUCAACCAAAUUCAACUGAUCAUACCGGCUUUGGCACCAUUCAGCCUCGGAUAACUUUGCUUCCAUGAUCACACGGAGAGAUGGGAUCUCCACUUCCAAAGGAAGAACUGCUUCCAUACCAUACACAAGAGAGAAAGGGGUUGCCCCGGUUGAACUGCGCACUGUAGUGCGGUAGCCAUGCAGAGCAUAGGGUAACAUCUCAUGCUAGUCCUUGUAGGUAGUUACCAUUUUCUGGACAAUCUUCUUGAUAUUCUUGUUGGCGGCCUCAACUGCACCAUUCAUCUGAGGUCUAUAGGGAGAAGAGUUAUGAUGCUCAAUUUUGAAUUCUUCGUAGAGAUCUUGCACCACAUUGUUGUUCAGGUUAGUACCAUUGUCGGUAAUGAUCUUGCUGGGAACACCAUAUCGACAGAUGAUGUUGUUCCUGAUGAACUUGGCUACCACUUACUUAGUUACAUUGGUAUAAGAUGCCGCUUCAACCCAUUUGGUGAAGUAGUCAAUUGCCACUAAGAUGAAACGAUGACCAUUUGAAGCCUGCGAUUCAAUUCUUCCAAUCAUGUCGAUGCCCCACAUUGAGAACGGCCAUGGGGAUGAAAUAACAUUGAGAGCGUGCGGAGGCACAUGGAUCUUAUCAGCAUGGAUUUGACAUUUGUGGCACUUUCUGGCGUGCUGGUAGCAAUCAUGCUCCAUGGUCAUCCAGUAGUAACCCGCUCGUAACAACUUCCUUGACAUAGUAUGCCCUGUAGCAUGGGUCCCGAAGGUACCGUCAUGUACAUCAUGCAUUAACUGCUCUGCUUCGCGUUCAUCAACACAUCUUAACAAUACCAUGUCGUAGUUUCUCUUGUACAGAAUAUCUCCAUCUAACAGGAAUCUACUGGCCAAUCUUCUCAGGGUCUUCUUAUCUUUGUUGGAAGCACCCGGUGGAUACUCACGGCUUAGCAAGAACUGUUUGAUGUCGUAAUACCAGGGUUUAUUGUCAACCACAUUUUCACCAGUCUGAUCGAUCACAUCCCCAAUAGCGAACACAUGCGAAGGUCUUUCAAGGCGUUGCACUUUGAUUAUUGGCACAUCAUUCCAAUGGUUUACUCGAAACAUGGAGGAUAGAGUAGCAAGAGCAUCAGCCAUUUGGUUCUCAUCACGAGGGAUAUGGUGCAACUCAACCUUUGUAAAAUAUGUCAGCAAACGUCUCGCGUAAUCACGGUAAGGAAUCAACUUGGCAUGGUGGGUCUCCCAUUCACCCUUUAUCUGGUUGAUGACGAGUGCAAAAUCUCCAUAGAUGUUGAGGUGUUUGAUUCUCAUGUCAAUUGCUUCCUCGAUCCCAAAGAUACAUGCUUCGUACUCAGCCAUAUUGUUUGUACAUUCGAACAGAAUCCGGGCGGUAAAAGGAAUGUGAUGCCCCUGCGGGGAUACAAUGACUGCCCCGAUUCCUUUACCAUAAGCAUUGACAGCACCAUCAACGACUAAACCCCACUUGCUAUUGGGAUCUGGACCUUCACUAAUCAACGGUUCUUCGCAAUCUUUUGAUUUCAAAUACAUGAUCUCUUCAUCGGGGAAAUCGAACUCAAUUGGUUGGUAAUCAUCAAGAGGUUGGUAGGCAAGAUGAUCGGCAAGAAUGCUACCUUUGAUUGCCUUUUGAGUUUUGAACACAAUAUCAUAUUCAGACAAGAGCAUCUUCCAGCGGGCAAUCUUUCCAGUAACAGCAGCUUUCUCAAAGAUAUACUUUAUCGGAUCCAUUCUGGAUAUCAACCAAGUUGUAUGAUUCACCAAAUAAUGACGCAGGCGUUUGGCGGCCUAGGCCAGAGCACAACAAGUCUUCUCAAGCAUUGUAUACCGAGUUUCACAGUCGGUGAACUUCUUGCUUAGAUAGUAGAUAGCAUGUUCUUUCUUUCCAGUCUCAUCUUGUUGACCAAGUACGCAUCCCAUGGAUUCAUCAAAUACUGCCAAAUACAUAAUCAAAGGCCUUCCUUCCACGGGUGGGACAAGGAUAGGUGGUUCCAGCAGGUAAUUCUUGAUGCUAUCAAAAGCUCUUUGGCAGUCAUCGUUCCAUACAAUAGGCUGAUUCUUCCUGAGUAGCUUGAAGAUCGGCCCGCAGGUUGCGGUCAUGUGAGAUAUGAAUCGGGAGAUGUAAUUCAAUCGUCUGAGGAAACCUCUGACUUGCUUCUCGGUCUUUGGAGCCGGCAUUUCUCGGAUGGCCCGGAAUUUAUCAGGGUCGACUUCAAUGCCCUUUUGGCUGACAAUGAAGCCUAGUAAUUUUCCGAAUCUGACGCCGAACGUACAUUUGUUAGGGUUCAAUCGAAGCUUGUACUUUCUCAACCUUUCGAACAUUUUUGUCAAGUAUUCAACAUGUUGCUCCUCAUCUAUUGACUUCACAAUCAUGUCGUCCACAUAUACUUCGACUUCUUUGUGAAUCAUGCCAUGAAACAGAGUAGUCAUCCCUCUUUGGUAGGUAGCACCAGCAUUUAUUAGACCGAACGACAUCACUUUGUAGCAGAAAGUACCCCAUGGGGUAAUAAAAGAUGUUUUUUCUCUAUCUUCAGGGGACAUUUUGAUCUGAUUGUAACCGGAGAAGCCGUCCAUAAAGGAGAACACCUUAAACUGAGCAGUAUUGUCAACAAGCACAUCAAUAUGAGGUAAUGGGAAGUUGUCUUUUGGACUGGCCUUGUUCAGGUCUCUGAAGUCAACACACAUCCGGACUCCAUCCUUCUUUGGCACAGGUACAAUAUUGGCAACCCAUUCAGGAUACUCGACUGUCAUGAGAAAACCCGCAUCAAUCUGCUUUUGAACCUCACUCUUAAUCUUGAGAGCCAUAUCUGGAUGAGUCCUUCUCAAUUUCUGCCUGACGAGAGGACAUUCAGGCUUCGUGGGGAUCCGAUGUUCCACAAUCUUAGGAUCUAGACCUGACAUAUCUUCGUACGACCAUGCAAAAAUAUCCGGGUAUUCUCGGAGGAGCUGGAUGAUCUUCUUUUUAGCCCCUUCCUCUAGAGCAGCACCGAUCUUGAUUUCUCGCUUGUUCUCUUCGGUACCUAUGUUGAUGAGCUCAAUCUCUUCCUGGUGAGGCUGAAUGGCUUUCUUUUCUUGCUCGAGCAGUCGAGUGAUCUCAUACGGUAUGUCAUCACCUUCCUCAUCUUCGGCUUCAUACACCGGGAAUUCAAAAUUCGGAGGAAACGUAGGGUUACUGUGCCCAACGGGUUUAUUAUGGCUCAAUCUGCGUAAAAUGGUUGGAUGAUUUUAGAAAGAUGUUUUUAUGCAGAUUUUUUUUGAAAUUAAUAAGAAAAUACAGAUGUUUUGGUUUUUUCUGGCAUUACCAUUAUUUCCAAGGAAAAAAAGCACUAAAAAAAAAUAAAAGCCGUGAAAGAAACGACGAUUUUUAUUAAUAACGACGAUGCCGAAACAAACAUGCCCUUACAGAAAAUAUCACUUUCGCUUCGGGCAGAGCGAGAGGAUUGUUAUUUUGAAAAACAAAACACUUAAGCAACAAGACACAUUACUCGGAAACAUGCAUGAUUGAAGGAAUGUCAAUGGCAUCCCAAUCUCUCGCAAUGCCUCCUGGUAUAACAAACACAGGCCUAGGACCAAAUCCGGUCGCCUCUUCAGUAAUUGCAUUGACAAACCCAGCACUAUGGAAAGUUCCUGUGGAGACACCUGAUGUUGGGGAAAACCCGAGACCUUCCUUAUGCUUAUUCUCACGGAGUUGUAUUAACUUGCCCCAGCCGGCAGCCUGUCCUUCCUGAACAGCCUUCUGAGCGUCUUUAAAAGAAGCCAUAGUAGCCCCAGUCUUUUUGAGCUCCGUACCUUCAAUAGUCAAACCUUGAAAGGCAGUUCCUUCAGCAGAUCCGGCUUCAAUGCAAGAGAAAGAUGACAGCUGGCUAACCAAAUAUGCCUCUUCUCCAUGGACUGUAACAAGCUUUCCAUUCUUCACAAACUUCAAUUUCUGAUGCAGGGUAGAGGUUACUGCGCCAGCAUCGUGUAUCCAUGGUCUUCCCAAGAGACAGCUAUAAUAGGCAUUGAUGUCCAUGACCUGGAAUGUGAUCAGAAAGGUUUCAGGACCGAUAGUCAUUGGCAGAUCUAUCUCUCCAAGAACAUUCUUACGGGAUCCAUCAAAGGCUUUCACCAGAAAAGUACUUCUUCUCAAAGGAGUCUCUCGAUAGCUCAACUGAUCCAGAGUCGAUUUAGGCAUCACAUUCAGGGAUGAGUCAGUGUCCACCAGCACAUUCGAUAGCAUAUCGGACUUGCAAUUCACAGAGAUAUGUAAAGCCAGAUUGUGAUAUUUUCCUGCUUCAGGCAGCUCAUCUUCACUGAACCACAAGUUAUUGCAAGCAGUAAUAUUUCCCACUAUGCUGCCGACGCGAUCCACAGUGACCUCGUGAUCCACAUAGGCUUGUUCCAAUACUUUCAGAAGGGUGUUCCUGUGAGCUUCGGAACUCAGGAGCAGAGACAAGAUGGAUAUCUUUGACGGGGUUUGCAGCAGCUGAUCUACAAUCUUGUAGUCACUUCUCUUGAUUAACCUCAAAAUCUCGUCCAGAUUGGAAUCCUCUAUAGACUGGCUUGGUUGGCUCGCAUCUCUAGUAACAGGAGAAACAUCGGUCAGAGUUGCUUUGUCAAUGGGUGGGGUGGUAGGUGCAUUUGCUUUCUUUUGGAACAACGGUGGGCGGACCCUUCCGCUUCUCAGGGCUGCUGAAGUUCCUUCGGCGAUGUUGCUCACCAUGGCCAAGGAUGCCAGAGGCACUUCUACUCCGUUCUCAAUCAUGGUAGCAUUGUACUUGUAAGGGAUAGCCUUUUCUGAAGUAUAAGGUACUGGUCCGGGCAACCUUAUCACCAGAGGCUCAACAUUCUCUUUCGAAGGCGUGCUCUUGACGGGCGGAUCAUGAAAGACUAGCACAAUCACACAGACAUCGCUGACAGUCAAAUAAUUGUCGUUCAUCAAGCUUUGGAUGUCAUUUUGAACGACAUAGCACCCCAAAGGAUUACGGAAGCAUUCUGGGCAACUGGCAUGAUCAUGGUCAAACAAAGAGGCUUGGCAUAGCUUGAUGUGUAGAGGCACCAAAGGAGUUGCAACAUUACGAACAUCAAGUCUGGGAGCUUUCUCAUAUACCUCAAUCAUGUUUACAGCAGCGUGAUUCGGAAGAGGAUUGUCGAGGACAUGAGGGACAUUGUUCUCAAAAGUUAACUUUCCUUGAUCAAUGAGCUUCUUCACAAUGUACUUCAAAGCGUAGCAUCCUUCGACAUCAUGACCCAGAGCACCUUGAUGGAAAUCACACUUGAGGUCAGAACGGAACCUGGGAGGCAACGGAUCAGGUGGAGGUUUUCCCUGUCUGGUUGUGCAGUGCCCUCUGAGAAGUAGAGUCGGGAGUAACUCGGUAUACAACAUUGGUAUCGGAGGAAAGGUAGGUCUAGCUUGUUGAUGUUGUUGUUGAACUGGUGGCUGUUGUUGCAUUUGCUGAACGAUGGCAUUAAUGGGUACCUGAGGCUGACCCGAUGGUGGUGGAUACUGGUGAUAGAAUGGUGGGAAGAAAGGAUGCUGAGAGUAUUGCAUGUACUGAUACGGCGGAGGUAACUGGGCAGCAUUAAUAGGGGCAACAGUAGCCAUGGAUUGACCGGCUCCGGCAGAUACCAUCUCUACUUCUGUUUCUUUCUUCUUAUGAUGACCGUUACCGUAACUCUUUGAUGCAUUUACAGAGGAUUCAACUUUCUCAAAUACAAUAAUGCCUUCUCUGACAGCUUCUUCUAGACGAGUCCCCAUGGUGACCAUCUCAGAGAAGUUAUUUGGAGCAGCAAUGAUCAUUCUUUCAACAUAAUCCUUUUUUAGAGUCUUCAGGAAUGUCUGAGUCUUCUCUUCUUCGUCAAGAGCGGGAGUGAUGCGGGCAGCUGCCCCCUCCAUCUCUGUGCAUACUCGCGGAAGCUUUCAUCUUUCUUUUGGGAGAGGGAUCUGAGAAAUUCCCUGUUUGGUUUCAAUCUGGUAUUAAACCCAUAGUGGCUUUUGAAAGCAGCGGCUAAUUCAUCAAAGGUAUGAACGUCAUUUUUGCUCAAGCUAGUAUACCAUUCUGCAGCGUCUUCCAUUAAGCUAUCUUGGAAGCAGUGAAUCAUGAGUGAAUCAUUGUCUUUAUAGUUACCCAUCUUUCGGACAUACUUGAUAAUGUGGUUCUGGGGACAAGUCAGCCCAUUGUAUCGGUCGAACUCCGGGACCUUGAACUUCUUGGGGACAUCCACCUUUGGUACCAAGCAGAGAUCAUGAGUCUUAAUAGAGUUCCCGUUCCCUCGGUUAGCUUUGAUUUCAUGACGGAGUUCUUUAGCAAGUUCCUCCAUCCUUUCUUUCAUGGUUUUGAUCACGGGGAUGCUUCCGUGAUGCGCGUUGAUGUUAACACCAUGAGAUAUGGCAUGCACAAGAGGCUCAGUGACAGUUGCCGUUGUCUGAGGCAAGGUAGUAUUGAUGGAGACAGUGUUCGUCCCAGGAAUCGGGCCGUUGUUAGCGGUACCAGAAGUGCCUGCUGCAGUACUAGGAGUGAAAAACGGUGGAAGUCCAUACGGAAACCCAGUUGGCAUAACGAAGCGAGCAUCAGUAGAUGCAGUUGGGAUCACACUUGUAGCUAUAGGGAUAGCUGUGGCUAUAGGGAAAGCUGUGGCUGAUUGUUCCUGGGCGGCUAGCAGAGCAGUCAUGGUAUCAUUGGCCUUAGCCAAUUCUUCCCUUAGAGAAGCUAACUCGGUACGGAGCUGAGCAUUUUCCUCUUCCAUAGCUACCAAAUUCUUCUUUCUGUAUAGUCUAGUCCGAUGUAUUCAAACUGUGGCAGAAGAACCAGGAGGCAGUGAGCACUUGGAAACCUUUUGUGACUUGAUGAAUGAUGCAUAUGAUGCAUGAUAUGUACAAAUGCAAAUGCAAAAAGAUUUUUUUUUUUAGACAAAUUAGGAACUUUGUAAACAACAUUAAACAAGCAAAGCAAAACAAAGUUUUUACAAGGUGAAUCCCUUUGAAGUACUAAGCCAAGGGAAGACUUUGAAAUAUAAGCAAAUAAAACUCUCUAGCAUAGGAAGUGGUGGGAUGAUCCUCAGACUCGGACUCCGAAUCCGAACCGCAGUAUCUAGCAUAGAAGUCGCGUCGUCCUCUAGCUCUCUUGGAGUCCCGCAUAAGCAACUCAUCUUUUUCUUCAAGUUCCCUUCGGACCUUGACCAAUUCAUUCUUCAACAUCAGGUUCUCAUGAGUCUUCUGCUCAUCCUUACCAUCCAAAGUCAUGAUUAGAUUCUCAGCUUCAUUGUAGCGGGCUUUUCACAUCUGCUUCUCACGACUCUCCAUGGCUAGAUGCUCCUGAUACAUCUCCUGAUUUGUGGGAGGUAGAGGUAAAGGUAUAGAUGGAGCAGAUGCAGACACAUGUCUCAUAGCAGGGUAAGGCAUACCAAUCUCCUCGGCUCGAUCUAUUACCCACUGAGUAUAGGCCUCAUGGGCAAUACCGGAUCUUACACCCAAAUGUUUCACACUCUUCCUACGGACUUUGGACCAAGCAUCUAUGAAGGCCUCCCUUUGUCCGGUGGGGGCAUUCGAAUAGUAGAAGAAUUCCGAAGAGGUAGCAAGAUUAAUGGGCUUUGCCUUCAUUGGGAACCCAAACUGUCUCAUAGCAAGUUCAGGAUUGUAGUUGAUUCCCCCACGGGUACCAAGAAGAGGUACAUUGAGAAAAUCCCCACAACCGGUAAUAAUUUCCUUAACCUGAGCGGCGGGAGUGAGCCAGACCACCUCAUUAGGAGUGAGGGCCAUAAUCCGUUGUGAGUAAGACCAAUUCUCCGAGUUUUCAUGGAAAGAACUUGGAAGCUGAGAAAUAAACCACCUAUAUAGGAGAGGCACGCAGCAAAAGAUGUACCCACGACCUUUGAGGGUUCGAUCAUGGAUAGCAUGGUAUGUGUCAGCUAGCAAGGUAGGAACCGGAUUCUUGGAAUGGAAGAUCUCAAUAGCAUUCAUAUCCACAAAGUUGUCGAGAUUCGGAAAGAGAAUGAGCCCAUAGAUAAGCAAUGCAAGAAUAGCCUCGAGCGUGUCUUGACAAGUGGUUUUGAGAUUAGCCUGCUCAAGUAGAUACUUUGAAGUGAACCCUCGGAUGUGAGACUUGGUAGUAAGAUGAUUGGAGACAUUGGAAGUCUUGAGAUAGAGAUCCUUAGCAAUAACCAAAGGAGUAAGAGAAGUCCCGGGACCGGUGAAAGGCGUCUUCUCGGCUAUAGGUGAAUCUAACAAGUAGGAAUAAGCCUCAAGAGUAGGGACUAACUGGAAAUCCGGGAAAGUGAAGCAACGGAAACUCGGGUCAUAGAAUUGCACUAGAGUGUGCACUAGCUUCUCUUCAACAUUGGUCCGGAGAAUAGUAAGCAAACCACCAUAUCGGAGUCGGAAACCUGUUUGAUUCUUAACCUUAAGUGCCAAUUCUCUCAAACUAACCAAAUCAACCUCCUUGAAUUUGUAGGAUUUAGUCUUCUUCAUACCUGUAAUGUUUACAAAGUUUUUAAUUUGUCCAAUCCUUCGAUGAAUGCAUGAGAAAAAUUUAUGCAUGAAUGCAUGUAUGCAUGAUUGUUUUUCAAUUACAGAGAAAACAUGGAGGGUUGAGAUUCAAAGUCAAGGGGCCACGGGCGGACACGGUGCCCGGUAAACUAAGGCUUAGGAUAAUAGUAACCAAGGUUCUAAUGAAGUUCCCAAACUGCAACCUCUCUUACGUAUAUCAUGGUAGCACGGGACAACGUCCGUUCCAUGAUUAUUCGCAAGAAGGUCUAGUUUGAGUGUAGUAUCGCGUGACGACUAAAACUCGAGACGACACUCGGUUUAGCCACCGCACUACGUCCUAAAAAGGCCAGGGAUGGGUUUGGUAACUACGGUCCAUAGCAUCGUCGAACAAUUGAAAGCAAAGUGCCUAAGCAUGACAACACACGCCAACAAUAUUACUUCCAAAAUGCCUCAGCUAUGUGAGAUUGAUCGCAUAACCCAAUACACGAGGCAACCCUCGGAUCGAAUUGUCGAUUAUAUCUCUACCUAUUCAUAAGUUCACUCAGCCCGGGUAUAGGACUUUUGAUAUUCUCACCCCACACGUCAAAUGAAAAUAAACAAAUAUUCACAUAUGUAAGCAAUAAAACAAAGCGUAAACAUAAACUACGAAAAACUAGGCGUGACCCGCUUAAAAUUAUCCCCAGUGAAGUCGCCAUUUCUGUUAUCCCGAUUUUGGGGUAUCAAGUCAUUAAUUAGGCUUGAACCUUUCAAUCUUUGAUAUUCUCUAUUUUUUCUUGGGAAGGGUAAAAUUGAGAAAACCCUUAGAAAUUCUAAGUUCGGGGGUCGUUUUCGUUACGGGAAGGUGUUAGGCACCCGCAAUGACUAUAGUACUCUAUAGGAGCCGUUUUCUUAGUUUUAUGUCUACGCUUUAUUUUUAAUGCUAUUUAUUAAAAAGAAGUUGAUUAUGUUAAGAAUGGAGGGAGAAAAAAGUUUGAAGUUUUGUUUUAUUGGACUUGGAGAGGUUUUGACCUCUUGCCUACAUACCCUUUUAAGGGAUCAAAAUGCCAUGUAGUUCUCUUUCAAAAAAUGUUUUUUGCGUGUUUGAUUGAUUUUAGUUUUUUUGGAAAAUGGUUUUGAAGAAGAGAAAGAAGCCGUAAAGGCAUGAGAAAAAGUAGUGAAGAGUUGGUUCAAUUAUUAAAAAGAAAAUGUCUAAGUUGGAAUUAGAGUUCAUUUGAGUUUGAUUAAGAAAAUAAAAGAAAAUGCAAUGGAGUUUUGACUCCAAGGUUUAUUUGGAAAAAAUUUCAAGUGAUGGAAUUUGCUUAUUUUUGGAAAAUUGAUAUUUUUCUAAGUAUCGCAUUUCCUAAGCAUACAUCUAAAGCGGUAUACAUACAACGUGUGUGCGUGUCGGUGCUUGUGUCGGUGUACAUCAUUAGAGAGUCCAUUGUCCGUUACAUUGGCCCUAGUUUACAUUCUAUGGUCUUGCAAGAAAUUAAAAAGAGAAAUUGAAACUACCUAAAAUAUUACAUGACAUUUUAACAUAGAAAUUAAAAGAAAAAUAAUGCCUAAACUAUGAGAAAUUGAGAUGAAAGAAGUGAGAUGCUCAUGGGAUGGAUGAAACAAGAAAUGAAAUGGUUAGUAAUAUAAGGCAUAAAAAUGGUAAAAAGGGUAAACAAAAUUGAAUAGGAUAGCCAAAAAAGAAAAGAGCAAUGAAGUGAAAUAAAAUGGCAAAAUAUACCUAGAAUUGGUUAUAAUACUUAGACAUGCACAUGACCUAUAAUUCUCUCAUCAUAGCAAUGUUAAAGAGGUUUGAUUUUGAGCUAUAAUGUGAGGAUUAUAAGGACACAUACAAGCCAAGCAUUUUGACAUAUUUCUAGAGAUACUUUGCACUUUAUUUCUUGACAAAAACACACAUUACUUGCAAAACAAGAAAAAUGAAAAUUCACAUCACACAAACAGUAAACCACACAUAGGAUCAGAGACAUAUUCAUCAUGAAAUUGCGUAUUAAUCACUCAUAUCUUGCACCAAGACCAUGAACACAAUGUGACGAAAAAUUCACAGGAAAUUCCAUUAAAAAGUAAAAAAAAACAUCAAGAACUAUCACAUACAUUUUUUAUUAGUUUUUCAAUGUGUAAAAGCAUCACAAGAAAUACCAAAAAUGAAUUAAAAACAAAUGGAAUUCUUCUAGAAUUUUUGAGAGAAAAAUUGAGCAAGCAGGGGUUCAAAUAGCAAUACAGCAAGGUGCAAGUAGCAACAAAAAAUAAAAAAAAACGCAGAAACAAACAAACUGCAAGCCCAAGCCCAAAACCCACAGAUCCGGAUGCACAGGGAGCGUUGGAUUGAUCCAGAGAGGGAAACCCUAGAUCCAACGGCCAGGAAUGAAGGGGAUUGGACCGAUUUUGGACCGGUCCGGUUCACUGGCCUAUAAAAGCGAGCUCACGCCGGUUUUCAUUUUACCAAGUUCUUUCUCUCUCUAAGCUCUCUUCCCCUCUCUAAACUCUCUCCUCCUUCGCCGGUUUCUGGAAGGAAACGGCCGGAGAAGAUGAAGAUUCAUCGGAAUCUUCAUCAACUCCGCCGUGAAUUCCAGAUUCCGGCGAGCUUCAACCUGACCAGAAAUCCACUAAACCUACUUCAUUCUACUCGUUCUUUCAUCCUAAAUACGAAUCUAACACCAGAAAUUGCAUACAAGCUUUGAAUCGACGUAGAUCGGGGAAAAUCUUUACGGUUUUCGAAUCUUUUUUAGUUUUUUUUUCAGUUUUUGAAGUGAACUUCUUAUAAACCCUCGAUCUACACCGAUUCACCUUCGUUGAUGUUUUUAUGAAAGAAAAAAAACGAAGUUUGAGUGUUUUACCUCUGGUUUAAUCGGAGAUUCGAACGAAGAUCCUUGCGGGAAAACUUGAACUGCUUCUGUUGGUUAAUCUUCGCUUUGAAACCGAAAAUAAAUCAGUGAUGCUCUUCUUCUUCUUCACCGGUUCCGUUUCUUCAUCUUCUUUCUCUUCUUCUUCCUCUCAAGUCUUCUUCGUGAUCGUGCUUGAGUCCGUCACCAAUAGUGAUGGAUUCGCACUUGUAUUGUGAAGAAGCCGAUUCAAUGAUGAAGAUUCAGUGUUGGAUCUCUGAGAAUUGCAAGGAAUCUUGUUGAAUCUUCAUUGAUUUGCGUUGAUUCGUGAUGAUUUGUGUUGAUUUGUGAUGAUUUCUGUUGAUUUGUGAUGAUUUCUGUGGAGUUUGGAAACGGUUAGGGUUUGGAAGAGGAUGAACAUUCUUGAGUGUUCAUCGUGAUUCUUGGAAAUUGUUGAGUUUUGAUCUUUGAGAUCAGAAAGAGAAAGUUGGGAAGUGUUUGUGAUGUGGCGUGUGAUCUAUGGCCCUCUGAUUCUGACUUGUGCAGUGAAUGCACCUUUUAUAGGCUGCCAAGUGUGCUUGAGACCCAAUGAGAGAGGGACACCUGUAAUUGGACUUUUCUGCAAAAAAUAAGAAAAUUGAAGGACUGGACAGCAAAUAAGAAAAAGGACUUAAAAAUGCAAUUUUAAAAAUUUUGGACUAAAAAUGCAGUUAAAAUAAAAUUGGACUAAAAUUGGUAAUUUGAAAAAACGUAAAGUGAAACCAAAAAUAAAAUCAACAAAAGGACUAAAAUGAACCAGUUACAAAAAUGAGGUAUUUUAAAACACCUCUCUGCCGAAAUUUUGACAGGAAAAGACCAAAAUACCCCUAGGGACUAAACUGACCCAACCUGACUCAAAUGCAAAAAAUUUUGAAAUGAUUUUUUAACAAAGACUCAACAAUGGUUUGAAAAGACUCAAAGACAAACACAAGGACUAAAAUGGGUUCCACUGCAGGAGAUGACCAAAAUACCCUUUCUGUAUGAUUUUUGCAAAUGUUUGAAAUGAAAUGCAAAAAAGUAAUGCAAUGUUUCAGAGAGACUUUUUUACAUGACUUGUAAUGCAAGAAAGACACUUUGAAUAGUUUUAUGCAAGAAAAUCAUGCUUGAAUGUACUUUGAGACAGAAACAGUAAAAUAUGCAGAUGAAAAGAGAGUAAAGAUUCAGAGUAAAACAACAGCGAAUUGACAAAUAUCAGUGUUAGAAAUGAAAUUUGAACGAGUAUUUUUAAGUCCAAAAUCAGGGUAUAACACCAUCUUUGAUCCUUGGAAUGUUGUCUUUUAUAUAGAAAAGGUGUGACCUUUUCUUGGUGAGUAAGUAAGAAACUAGUCGUUAUAAAUAGUGUGACCUUUCAUUGAUCAUUUGUUUUGUGUUUUCUGAACUCUAAUAUGAUCUUCAGAGCUUCAAUCUGACAUGCUUAUGAACUGCAUUCUGACCUAAUUGAUCUAUAUUCUAAAGUAUAUGAGAUUUCUUUUGAACUUUUGUUCUGAAGUCAAUUUGAUCUAUAUUUGAAAUGAUUCUGAUCUUAAUAUGAAGUACCUCUCAGACAUUCUGAAGUCCUUCUUAAUCAAUAUGAAGUUCACUUGACAAACUUUUCCCUUUUCUUAGUAGUGGAUACUGACGGAUCCAAAAAAUUUGACUUAUGGGAGCAGGAUUUUAUAUGAUAUAUAUUUAUAUAAAAAAUUUAGCAAUGCAAAAGUGAUAAAAUGAUAACAUUGGGCAAAAUACUUGAGAUUAUAAUAUUAUAUAUUAGAAAUAUUAACAAUUCUUUCUGGAAACCAAAGAGAUGGUGGUCAUAGGUUAAAUAUCAACAACUCUUUAACAUCUACAAAUUAAAGUUGUUAUAUGUGUUUAUAUUUAAAAAGUAUGGUAAAUAUCAUUCAAAAUUUCAUCUCAAAUGCAAUUACACAUUUGAUUUUAUAAAAUUCAUGACAGAAACUCAUGAAAAUAUUUAAUGGGGGAAACCUAUCAUUUUAAGAGGGGGGAUAUAAUUAAAAUAUCAAAGAUUUAACAAAUAACCCAGAAAAAUAGUGGGGGCAACCCCCAAUUCACAAUAGAUGGAUCCAUGCUUGGUGGUGGACGUCGAUUGUUGUAAAUUUAGUAAGUCAAAAAGUAACACCAAUAAACUUAGACAUGUGGGAAAAUUAUCAAUAGAAACUAAUAACCAAAAUAACCACAAACAGCAACAAAUCUAGAUCUAAUAUAGUGACUAAACGUAAAGCAAAACCACAAUCGAACUAAAGAAUAACGAGAUAAAGAGGUAGAGUAUAUAAAACAACAUCAGAAAAUUGUUUACCUAGUUUUGGCCAAACAAUGAUCUACAUCCAGAGAGUUUCCAAUCCACUGUCAAUUAGUUCUUUGCAAAAAAUAAAAAUAAAAAAAUACAAAGAGUUGCAGUAUACUAGCUUCCACACGAUAUCCAAGACAAACCUAAUUUCUACAUUUUUCUAGAGUCUCUUGUCGUGGUCAAGAGACUCAAUGAUUUUACUACCUAAGGUAUUUCAUAAUUGUUUCUCAACUCUAGAAUCUAACCCUAAACUAAACCAACUCGUAGCCUUUGAUUUCCUAAGGAUCUUCUCUUUUAAGUUUUCAAAAUUCACUCAAGUUGCUCACAAUGACUCUCCUCUCAUGUGUUUGCCAACACAUGAAUUUCUAUCCAAAAUGCACCAACCCUUUUCGAAGAGCCCCCUCUUUUGGUUCUUCAAGAUAUACAUCUUGAACCUUUGAAUAUCACCCAAAGACCCUUAACCUUUAGUUUCUAAAUUUUAUAAAAUUAUCUAAUUUGAUUUCCAUGAGAUUCUCAAACUCUCUCAACAAAUACUUGAAAAAGAGUACUUUUAUUGUGUUUCAUAUCUAUACAAAUCAUGCCAUGAUUUCCUGGAUCGCGACACGAUUUGCACCCGUACACAAGUACAAUACUAUACCAGCUCUAAAAUUAAUUAAGCUUUGAUUAUGUCUAAGUCAAUGAAAAAUAUAAUUGACUUUUGUUGGCACAAACUAAUAAUAAUGGACUUUUUUUUUACAAAAUAAUAAUUGACUUUAUUUGUUGGUAAAUUAAUAAUAAUUGAUUUUUGUUAUUUGGUACAAAAAUAAUAAUUGACUUUGUUUACCGAUAUAAACCCACAUAACAUAGCAUCAUACCCCAAUAACAUAGCGUCAUAGUUUAACUGCGAGAUGUUCUAUAGUUUUUUUAUUUUUUUAUUUUUUUUAGGAAACGAGUUGUUCUAUUGGGGCUUAAUACAUAAUUUGAUUCCUUAACUUAUUUUUGGUUUUUAAUUUGAUCAUCUAACUAUAAAGUGUCUCAAUUUGGUCCUAUAAAUCUUAUGUCAUUUACUAUUUUGGUCAUCUCCGUUAGUAUUUUGCAAAAUCUGUUAACUCAUUUCCACGUGUCAUUUAAGAUUGGCGAUCAACGGUUAGAUUUAAAAAGCACACAUGGCAUACCGUGGACUCACAACGUACCAUAACUUCUAUUGUCAUCUUCCUUUUUCCUCAACCUUCAUAGAAAAAAAAUCUAAUUUUUUUUCUUUCAAAAAUUCAUCAUUUCAACAUCAUCAAAAACAGAUAAUCAAAUCCUUAAAUCUGGAAUAAACACCACCACCAUCAUCUAACUCACAAUCAAACUCAUUUAUCUUGAAAAUCUCUAAAAACCUUUUCCUUCUUCUUCAUCGAACACACCUCCAACAUAAUACUCAUUUAUAAAUGAGCUUUGUCCACCAACCAUACCACACCAACAUACACACACCACAUAGUAGUAUAUCAGAAGCCCUUAUCAACAAAAGCUCUUCUUCCAACAAAGGUCUCAAAUAAUUCUCCAAAUUCUAACUAACAAAACAUGGUUCCGUUUCAUUAGCACGUUUUAACCUUGACCCAUUUCUCAAAAUCAAGUCUUUCCUAAAAUUUCCAACUUUUUUACUAGAAAAAUCUCUUCCUAAUUCAUUAACAAAAGAAUGCUUCAGAUCUUUUUGUUUGGCAACAACAAUUUUUUCAUCACCAUCAGAUUUUCUAGGGUGUUUGGUGAAUGUGCUUAUUACUAGAUUUUUCUUUUGAUGUUUUUUCUUCUCGGUAUGAAGUAUGGAGAUCAAGAGGGAACACUCUGAAGAUUGUUGGUAAACUUUAAUUUUAACUUUAGGAAAUUUAAAACAAAAAUGGAAAAACAAUAAGAAUUAUCAUAUGUUGUGAGUCUACGGUAUGUCACGUGUGCUUUUUAAAUUCAACCGUUGAUCACCAAUUUUAAAUGACAUAUGGAAAUGAGUUAAUAGAUUUUGCAAAAUACUAACGGAGAUGACCAAAAUAUUAAACGACAUAAGAUUUAUGGGACCAAAUUGAGAUACUUUAUAGUUAGGGGAUCAGAUAGAAAACUAAAAAUAAAUUAAGGGACUAAAUGAUCUAUUAAGCCUAUAUUAUUUGGUAAGAGUGUUUGGCACUGGUACGUUUUGUACUUUAUAUUUUACUAGCAAAAAGAUGAGCACUCAUGUGACCGUCUUUCCGCUCUAUUUAUUGUACAAACGCGUGUAAAUUAUGAACGAUAUUUUAUAUAAAAUUUAAGUUUUAAUAUUUAUGACUUUUAAAUUGUAACAAACCCAAAAAAGCAUUUUUAUUUUUUUCAAUAACAAUAGUAAUUUAACAAAUAUAAUAUAAAUCUAUAUCUAUACUAUAUAUAAAAAAAUUCAGAUAAAAAAACCUGCAAGGUUUAAUGCAGACUAAAUAUAAUACUUUAUAUUUAGGGUCGUGGUGUUAGUGUUUUGCUUGUUGUUGCUGGCCCUUGUGUUCUUGGUUCUCUGGGACUGUUUGGUAUGCGUUUUUUUUUAUGCUUUCUGUUCAUGAUCAAAGAUUGUAUUGGGUGGUUGAUGUUUGACAUGUUGUUAUAGUUGGUUUCGUAUACCUGUUAGAGGUUGUUGGUUCGAUUAACCCAAAAGGGUCUGACUAGUAACGUAUUAGACUCAUCCUUUGAUCUGAGUUCUUACGCGUCUCUUGGAAACCGUUGUGUUGGUUGGUAUGUCCUUCGAUUCUCUAAUGUUUUCAUAUAUGUUGAGUUCUGCAUAUGUUUCAAGUAGUCAUGGCUACCUAUACUUUGGUACUUGCUCGAAAGAGCUCUUAUGCUUGCGCUUGUUCAGGGAGCUGUUGGCACUUGGAUUACCGUGUUUGCGGUCGAUCCAUUCAAGAUUUCCUAACUGUUUUUGCAGAAUCUUACUCUUCAAAUUUUUUUGUAGCCUGGUUUCGUGCCCGUACGCGGGUUCGCUGGGUUGCACCCGUGACUAGUGAAUUUUUGUUAGAAUAGAUUAGGACUGGUCCACUUGGUAUGAUUUAUUCCUAAAUGGAUUGUGCCUGGGUCAGGUCUCAUGCUCCCCCAAUCUUUAUAUCUUUCUUUUUGUUUUAAUCUAAUUUUUAUUUUGCCUAAAAAAAAGUUAAAUAUAUUUUUGGUUAUUAUGGACAAGAAUAAAAUAUUCAACUCCUCUUUAAGUUAAAGGGUGGCAUACUCCACUAUUACUCUGAAAAUAACUUAUUGACAUUUACAUAACACACUAUAUUUAUUCUUAUGGUGAGUCAAUUCAAUAAAAUUAUUACUUCUAAUAUUUAUACUUAUGUGACGACUUGAUAUCACAUAUGCAUAUAAUAAUCUCAAUAUAUUACCGUUUUCCUAUUUGAAAAUAGUUGUUGACAACCUAUAUAUAUUUUAGGAAUAGUGUUAGAUUGGAUUCUUCACAAAUAUUACUACCAAAUUUUUUUAAUUUAUGUGAUUGAUCAGUAAGAGGUUUUAGGUCUUAUAAAACAAUCCCCUUAUCAUUUUUCCUCAUUGUAGCAAUCAAAGGAUGUGUCAAGUUGUAUAUUCUAUAAUUUUUUAUUUUUUUUAAGUAUUUUAGAUAACGUAUCGUGUCAUACACAUAAAAGUUAAUUUAUUAUUGAAUUAGAGGCCACUUGUCUUUAUUUUUUAAGGGCAGGGACCACUUGUUAUUUGCUUAAAAUUGAACGAAAAUAUUAAGAUUAUAGUCUCUUUAGGAUUACUUAAAAAAUCAACAAGCAAACUAUGAAUGGAUAAUUUAUGAUAUAGCAUAAUAGAAACUAUUAUACAAACCCAGAAUUUUGUUAUUGGAGAACCUCUAACUACCAGUAUAGUUGAAUAUUGGGUUGCAACAGAUACAAGGGGUAUUAAAUAUAUUGAGCAUAUAUCUGUUUCCACAAGUGGAAUCAAUGUCAAAUCUAAAAAAUAUCUCUUAAUUACCUUAAGUGGAAUGGAUGUCCUAGAUUUUUAAUUGGUUAUGUAUCUGUAUUAAGGAUAUAUUACUCGGAAAGAAUAAAUUAGCAUGUGAACUAUUAUAGUUCCCUAAAAAAAAAAGUCAACUAUUAUAGUGGUUUUCCUCUAAAAAAGAGAGUAAAUUACACUUCGCUUUCCUUACAGAUGUUUGAAUUACUGUUCCAUCUCCUCUUAUAUUAAAAUAUACAUUUUAUUCUCCUCUUAUUCAAAACAUAUUAUGCUAAAAAAAAAAUCUAUUAGGGAUUUUGAAUCGUUGAACAACAUAAUUGUUUUACUUAAGUCUUAAGGUGUUUAAAUCUCUUUAGGUCAACAUCCCGAAAUUAUGCUUAAGCAUGUUUAAAUUUGUGAUUAAUGAAAUUACUUUGGUGAUUAGCUAGUGAAUUUCAACUCUUGAUAUAUCCAAUAGCAAUUGCCGCAAAAGUUGUAUAAAUUUAGUUGUACAAAUAUCAUUUAUCUAUAAUACAUUUUUCAUUCCUAAUUUUAUAUCAAAUAAACAUGGUUGGAUGCAAGUGAUUUACAUGUGUUUCCUAUUAUUUAUUUACAUUUUUUAUUACAAUGAUGUAUGUGUUUCUGUUAAUGUUGAAUGCUUAGGGUAUCCAAGUUUAAUCAUUAAUUAACAUAACUAGCAUUCAGAUUUAAGAAACAAGAAAAUUAAUUAAAAAAAAAAUAGUGCUUAUAAAGCGUUUACAUUGAUGAAUGCUUGUGAGUGGUGAUUAGGUUAGGCAUAUACCAUUGAUGCUGAAUUGAUUCCUUUGACCUAGCAAGGUUCAUGUUACCUAUAUAUAUGCAUAUUAAUAGUUUAGCUGCUCAAAGUGCAGGCACCUAGCUAGCUCCUCAUACAAACUUGACUUCUCACAAGGAGGUCUUCUCUCUCUCUAUCUCUCUAGCUUGGUGAGUUUGUCAACAAUUAUCAUUUUUCUUAAUGAAAAAUCAAGCUUUACUUUAUUUUGGUAUAUCAAAAUUAAUCUCUACAUGCAAAUGUAGAAAUUAAUGCUUUGAGAUAACUACAUGGAAAUAUAGAUAUUGUGCUGCUAUAACUUAGAUGAGAGGCCCCACAUAGUACUUUUCUAGUUAUAAAGGCAGUUAUAUAACGUACUUAACAAACAAUCAUUCAUUCCACCUUUGACUACGUGGAUAUGUCUUAUUUUCAUGAAUUUUUCCCAUGCAUUACUUUGGAAAUUCAAUUAGUUCUAGUCUUACUACUCUUUUCGUAAAGUACUAGCUCAUAGAACUUCUUCAAGAAUUAAGAAAUGGUUUCAUGUACCUUUAAUCUUUUAUGCCUAUUUUCAUAUUUCGUUUCAAUGUUAAUCUCCUUUCUCUAAUUUCUGCAUCAGUUUAUUUACCAGAAAUUUAUUUCAUGCAUGUGUAAAAUAACUAUAAAGUGCUUAUAAUUAGAAAGAGAGUACUAAUUACCAUAAUUUGUCACAAGCACCUAUUCUUUACUCCACUUUUUUUUAUCUAUCUUGGUAUUCAUCAAGAUAUUUUAGGAACAAAUUAAUCUUUUCCUCUUUGAUUGCAAUCUGUCCCUACGAACCAAGUACUUUGACAAAUAUAAUAGUAAAUAGCUAACUGAGAAACUAUUUAUUUGUUUAUUUCAAAGGGUGUAGUAGCUAAACUCACACACUACAUGAAGAAAACAGACGAAUUAAGAUUUCGAAUUUGCGCUAAAAUAUAUCAAAUGAUCAUGCAAUAUUUUACAAUACAAACUAGACAAUAAUAAAUUAUUUAAAUAAAUGAGAUCAUGGUAUUGAAAGUAAUAAACAUUAUCUUUGUAAUUUAAACUACAAAUAAUUUGAGAAAGAAAAAUAUGCUAAACAAAACAUUGACUCUUAGUUAAUAUGACAAGAAAAUACUUUUAUUCUUCCCUAAAAUAAAAAAACUUCUUUAAUUCUCUUAUUUAUUAUUUCGUAGGGCCACCAAGAAAGAUAAUUUAAUCAAAAAAAAUUGUCGUCUCUAAAUGUCUAUGUGUCUGAGUCUUUAUAAUUGUUGCUGUCUAAAAUUAAAUUAAGCUAGAACUAGAAACAAAUUGCCGGAAUAUUUCUUAACCAUUAAUUAUAAUUCCUUGGUAACAUCAGAUUUUCUUUUGUUACUAAGGGUCAACUCAUAGGUAGUAUUGAAUCCGUUGAUAAUUGAUUUUUUUUUUUUUUUUUGAGUAUACCUUUCAUACUUUCAUAAGAGAGAGAACUGAUUUAGCUUUGUCAUAACAAUAUUAUUUAUUUCUUGCUAAAUAAAAGAAAAUAUAAUUUGAGGACAAUAUUUUCUUUAAAGAGGAUUAUAUGCUUAAGGACAAUGAUAGUAAUUGGUAAUACAAUAAUGACAUUUAGUAACAUUUGAAAAUUGUAACUAAAUCAAGAAAAAUGUUACUAAUAAAAUUUAGUAACACUUGAAUAAUUGUUAGGUAAAGCCCGUGUUACUAAAGAGUUUUGUCAUACUCGUAUGUUUUCUAUUUCUACUAUGUUGUGAGAGUUAAUUAGAUAUCAAUAAACUUUAGAUAUUUAUUAGAUAUAUAAGCCAAGUGUGGAACAUCGUUAGUGGGUAAUAUGUAAGUAUCUUUGUUAGCACAAUUUGAGCAUCGUGGCUUUCCCGAACUCCAAUGAUCCCUUGAACUCAAUUCACAUAAACUUUUUAAUGGCCUUGUAUGUAUGUAUAUAUAGUCAAAGGUUGGUAAACAUGUCUUUUUGUUCUUAUGUAGGGGACUAGGUAACAAAUUCAGCCAUGUCAGGAGAGCUAGGAGUGCUAAAUGCACUUGAUGUGGCCAAGACACAAUUGUAUCACUUCACUACAAUUGUGAUUGCUGGAAUGGGAUUCUUCACUGAUGCAUAUGAUCUUUUCUGCAUUUCCCUUGUCACAAAGUUGUUAGGGAGAAUAUAUUACACUGAACCAAAUCCAACAAGACCAGGAACACUUCCACCAAGUGCUCAAUCAGCUGUAACUGGUGUUGCACUUGUUGGAACACUAGCAGGCCAAUUAUUCUUUGGUUGGCUUGGCGACAAACUUGGUAGGAAAAAAGUCUAUGGUUUAACACUUAUUCUCAUGGUGGUUUGUUCAGUUGCUUCAGGACUCUCUUUUGGAUCAAGUCCAAAGAGUGUUAUGGCAACACUUUGUUUCUUUAGGUUUUGGCUUGGUUUUGGUAUUGGUGGUGAUUACCCUCUUUCAGCUACAAUCAUGUCUGAAUAUGCUAACAAAAAAACUAGAGGUGCAUUUAUUGCUGCUGUUUUUGCCAUGCAAGGUUUUGGUAUCUUAGGUGGUGGAAUUGUUGCUUUGACUGUGGCUUCUAUAUUUGAUCACAAAUAUAAGGUUCCUACCUUUGAAGAAAAUCCAGCUGCAUCAUUGUUAGUGCCUCAAUUUGAUUAUGUUUGGAGACUUAUUCUUAUGUUCGGUGCUCUUCCAGCUGCAUUGACGUACUACUGGCGAAUGAAAAUGCCAGAAACAGCUCGUUACACGGCUCUUGUUGC